GAUCAUGGCUCAGGAUGAACGCUGGCGGCGUGCCUAACACAUGCAAGUCGAGCGAAGCAAUCGAGAUGAAGUUUUCGGAUGGAUUCUUAAUUGACUGAGCGGGCGGACGGGUGAAGGUAACGCGUGGGUAACCUGCCUCAUACAGGGGGAUAACAGUUAGAAAUGACUGCUAAUACCGCAUAAGCGCACAGUACCACAUGAUGCGGUGUGAAAAACUCCGGUGGU
Molecule: ribosomal RNA, 225 nt
Filed under: uncultured bacterium
Lineage: Bacteria
Description: partial 16S ribosomal RNA
Rfam family: Bacterial small subunit ribosomal RNA
Source: RNAcentral